CAUUCAUCUUGUAGUUCUUGGAGUAGUUCUUCCACUGUCAGUCACUCAGUGUGUGAUGUGUGUGUAGUGUAUCGCGGGGAGAGUGUCGUUAUACUGUUGAAGCUUUAUAAAAGCUUAGAAAAGAAAUUGGACAGAGUUUAAAAUGUAUAUUAGAAGACAGAUAUACAGACAGACGAAUAUAUAUAUGUGUGUGUGUAUGUGCGUUCGCGUAAGAUGGUAUAUUGAAUCGGUGGAAAAGCCUAAUGCACGAACAAAAGUCCUUGUCUCCGCUACCUGGUGUCUUUGUUUAUGUGGCCGCAGACAUCGCUGUUGACAUCGCUGUUGACAUCGCUGCGUGGGAGUGAAGUUUUGUCCUGGUUCAGCUGGGUCAGUCUACAUGUAGCACAAGUAGAGUUCGUGCAAGAUGUCAGGUUGUCUCGAGGUUAAUGCAAACCCCAUCCCCAAAGCUCCAACUCCAACUCGGCUGGAACGAAACCUUUGGAGCUGCCGUAGCUGAUAAAGCUUCAGUGUAACGCCUGACGAUGUCUUCAUUCCCCUACUGAAGUCUCCCAGCUCAGGCUGACAUAUUUCAACACCUUGUAGGAGUCCAUCCUGCAUAAUGGAGUGUGAUAAGGAAAAGUUAACUUCGUUCCCACUGUGUAACUACCAUAUAGAAAUGGCCAGCAGCACAAUGCUAAUAUAUCAUUUAUUAAAUAAAA
Molecule: non-coding RNA, 698 nt
Organism: Cherax quadricarinatus
Lineage: Eukaryota; Metazoa; Arthropoda; Malacostraca; Decapoda; Parastacidae
Source: RefSeq, a predicted model, not a curated record